UACGUAGGGGCUAGCGUUAUCCGGAAUUACUGGGCGUAAAGGGUGCGUAGGUGGUUUCUUAAGUCAGAGGUGAAAGGCUACGGCUCAACCGUAGUAAGCCUUUGAAACUGGGAAACUUGAGUGCAGGAGAGGAGAGUGGAAUUCCAUGUGUAGCGGUGAAAUACGUAGAUAUAUGGAGGAACACCAGUGGCGAAGGCGACUCUCUGGUCUGUAACUGACGCUGAGGCUCGAAAGCGUGGGGAGCGAACAGGAUUAGAUACCCCUGUAGUCCCUGA
Molecule: ribosomal RNA, 275 nt
Filed under: uncultured prokaryote
Description: partial 16S ribosomal RNA
Rfam family: Bacterial small subunit ribosomal RNA
Source: RNAcentral